This 589-nucleotide long non-coding RNA is filed under the name Olea europaea subsp. europaea. Lineage: Eukaryota; Viridiplantae; Streptophyta; Magnoliopsida; Lamiales; Oleaceae. The record is from RNAcentral.
AUAUGUAUACAGGGUGGUCCGGAAACAUAGUAACAACGGCCUACAGGUGAUAUAUUGGAUCAUUUCCAACAAAAAACACUCCCAUACAUAUGGGUCGAUUUCUCAUGGUUUUCAAGAUAUCCACUAUUUUUCAAAAAUAUCAGAGUUUGCCUUGGUUUUUACGUAAUAACUUUUUUCCUACUUAUGGUACAAAAAAAUAAUGCACAUUUUUGAAAUCUACACAAAAUUUUGCAUUCAAAAUAAUAAUUUUAGCGAUCUUAGUCUCAACAAAUAAUAAACAGUACGGAGAUGUUUUUCCUGAUGAGUGCCACAUUUCGAUCGGGGAAAGUUUUCGAGAAAAUUGAGUGACACUGGUCACGGGAAAAAUACAAACACAAAAGUUUGGAUCACAGGUCUUUGUUUUUUUUACACGCCGCAACCAUUAGUUUGAAUGCAAAAUUUUGUGCAGAUUUCAAAAAUGUGCAUUAUUUUUUUGUACCCUAAGAAGGAAAAAAGUUAUUGCGUAAAAACCAAGGCAAACUCUGAUAUUUUUGAAAAAUGGUGGAUAUCUUGAAAACCAUGAGAAAUCGACACAUAAUAUGUAUGAGAG